RNAcentral lists this ribosomal RNA (325 nucleotides) under uncultured Anaerolineaceae bacterium. Its description in RNAcentral is "bacterial SSU rRNA". It matches the Rfam family "Bacterial small subunit ribosomal RNA", at positions 1045 to 1382 of the family's 1533-position model. Lineage: Bacteria; Bacillati; Chloroflexota; Anaerolineae; Anaerolineales; Anaerolineaceae. The record is from RNAcentral.
AUGGCUGUCGUCAGCUCGUGUCGUGAGAUGUUCGGUUAAGUCCGCUAACGAGCGCAACCCUCGCUGUGUGUUACAAGUGUCACACGGAACUGCCGGUCAUAAACCGGAGGAAGGUGGGGAUGACGUCAAGUCAGCAUGGCCUUUAUAUCCUGGGCUACACACACGCUACAAUGGGAAGGGACAAUAGGUUGCGAAACCGCGAGGUGGAGCCAAUCCAGCAAAACUUCCCUCAGUUCAGAUUGCAGGCUGCAACUCGCCUGCAUGAAGUUGGAGUUGCUAGUAAACGCAGGUCAGCCAUACUGCGUUGAAUACGUUCCCGGGGCUU